GAUGAACGCUAGCGAUAGGCUUAACACAUGCAAGUCGAGGGGCAGCAUGGUCUUAGCUUGCUAAGACUGAUGGCGACCGGCGCACGGGUGCGUAACGCGUAUGCAACUUGCCUCACAGAGGGGGAUAACCCGUCGAAAGACGGACUAAUACCGCGUACACUCCAUCUUGGGCAUCCAAGGUAGAGGAAAUGAACUUCGCUGUGAGAUAGGCAUGCGUCCCAUUAGCUAGUUGGUGAGGUAACGGCUCACCAAGGCGACGAUGGGUAGGGGAACUGAGAGGUUGAACCCCCACACUGGUACUGAGACACGGACCAGACUCCUACGGGAGGCAGCAGUGAGGAAUAUUGAUCAAUGGGCGAGAGCCUGAACCAGCCAAGUCGCGUGAAGGAUGACUGUCUUAUGGAUUGUAAACUUCUUUUAUACGGGAAUAACAAGAGUCACGUGUGACUCCCUGCAUGUACCGUAUGAAUAAGCAUCGGCUAACUCCGUG
Molecule: ribosomal RNA, 490 nt
Filed under: uncultured bacterium
Lineage: Bacteria
Description: partial 16S ribosomal RNA
Rfam family: Bacterial small subunit ribosomal RNA
Source: RNAcentral